Molecule: ribosomal RNA, 584 nt
Filed under: uncultured bacterium
Lineage: Bacteria
Description: bacterial SSU rRNA
Rfam family: Bacterial small subunit ribosomal RNA
Source: RNAcentral
CCUACGGGAGGCAGCAGUGGGGAAUUUUGGACAAUGGGCGAAAGCCUGAUCCAGCCAUGCCGCGUGCAGGAUGAAGGCCUUCGGGUUGUAAACUGCUUUUGUACGGAACGAAAAGGUCUUUUCUAAUAAAGAAGGCUCAUGACGGUACCGUAAGAAUAAGCACCGGCUAACUACGUGCCAGCAGCCGCGGUAAUACGUAGGGUGCGAGCGUUAAUCGGAAUUACUGGGCGUAAAGCGUGCGCAGGCGGUUAUAUAAGACAGUUGUGAAAUCCCCGGGCUCAACCUGGGAACUGCAUCUGUGACUGUAUAGCUAGAGUACGGUAGAGGGGGAUGGAAUUCCGCGUGUAGCAGUGAAAUGCGUAGAUAUGCGGAGGAACACCGAUGGCGAAGGCAAUCCCCUGGACCUGUACUGACGCUCAUGCACGAAAGCGUGGGGAGCAAACAGGAUUAGAUACCCUGGUAGUCCACGCCCUAAACGAUGUCAACUGGUUGUUGGGUCUUCACUGACUCAGUAACGAAGCUAACGCGUGAAGUUGACCGCCUGGGGAGUACGGCCGUAAGGUUGAAACUUAAGGAAUUGACGG